Molecule: ribosomal RNA, 389 nt
Filed under: uncultured bacterium
Lineage: Bacteria
Description: bacterial SSU rRNA
Rfam family: Bacterial small subunit ribosomal RNA
Source: RNAcentral
GACGAACGCUGGCGGCGUGCUUAACACAUGCAAGUCGAGCGGUAAGGCCCUUUCGGGGGUACACGAGCGGCGAACGGGUGAGUAACACGUGGGUGACCUGCCCUCAGCUCUGGGAUAAAGCCUGGGAAACCGGGUCUAAUACCGGAUAUGACUCCAUGACGCAUGGUUGUGGGGUGGAAAGCCUUGUGCGACUGAGGAUGGGCCCGCGGCCUAUCAGCUUGUUGGUGGGGUGAUGGCCUACCAAGGCGACGACGGGUAGCCGGCCUGAGAGGGCGACCGGCCACACUGGGACUGAGACACGGCCCAGACUCCUACGGGAGGCAGCAGUGGGGAAUCUUGCGCAAUGGGCGAAAGCCUGACGCAGCGACGCCGCGUGAGGGAUGACGGCC